AUUUAAACAGUUUCUGACAUACAUAUCAAUUUUAGGAUGAAAUAAAAUUAAACUCAUGAUGUUAACUACAUAAUAACAUUAAGUUAAGAAAAGUUGUCAUGCAUAAUAUAUAUUUCAUAUAGUUAGAUAUGCAUUAAUUUAAUUUAUAUGGUUAACCAUGUGAUGAUCAAUCGUUCAAUGCAGUCAACAAUCAUUUCCUUAUUUUUUUGAUACAACACCGUUUUGAACCAGCCUUUUAGUUCAUUACGUGUAGAACUCGUACUCGGUAUUUAUAGAACAAGCAAAUAAAAUGAAGAUCGAUAAAUAUGAGAAAGGGAGUUCCAUAAGAAAUGAUGGACAAGAUUGGUAACUAAUAAAUCUUAGAAGGUUGCAUUUGUGUUUGGACGAUAACACUCAUCUCUUAAACAUCUCCUCAUCAAUCACAUGUCAACAAAAGCUAUCAAGAUUCAAUGUAUCGAUCUCGACAUAAAAGUGAUGAUAAGUCUUUUUAAUGAUAAAAUGCUUCGAAACUAUUUCACCUGUAAAUUCUAACAUUGAAAUGAACUUUUUUAAAGUUAAGGAUCGUAACUUAAUUUAUAACCCUAAUCAAGGAAAUCUAACUAUUUAUUAUUCGGUUUAGACUUCGUAUAAAGGUUGCACGGCGGAAUUUUUAUAGUCUAGAGAUUGGUAAACCCAAUGAAUUGGGAAGUUAAAGGUUUCAAAAAGUUGUGUACAUGGUGCUACUACUAAUUUAUGGCUCCUAAUAUUUUUAACCGCCCC
RNAcentral lists this long non-coding RNA (759 nucleotides) under Brassica napus (rape). RNAcentral describes it as "long non-coding RNA (BNAP_LNC001206)". Lineage: Eukaryota; Viridiplantae; Streptophyta; Magnoliopsida; Brassicales; Brassicaceae. The record is from RNAcentral.